CGAGGGGGCGCGGCGCGCCUGCUCCCGCGCAUGCUCAGUGCUGCGAGGGAGCGACGCAGCCCCUAGGCGGGGCGGGCUGGAAGGCGGAGGCUAAGGGGCCUCGCCCCCGCGGCCGGGGACUUGCAGCGCGAGCUGCAGCCGCUGGGAUCAGUGAUGGCUCCGUGGGUCUCCCCGACUCCCCCUGCGCCGGGCGCCCAGGGGAACCCCUCCGACCUCGGAAAUCAAGAUUUUCCUAAUAUUUUGGCAAGCCAUGGUUUAGAAAGUACUACAUCUCAAGCUGUCGGUGAUCACGCAGGAAGUGGCAUGCAUCCAGAAUAUCUUGCUUAUGGGUUGGUUCCUGUCUUUUUCAUCAUGGGCCUUUUGGGGAUCCUCAUCUGUCAUGUGCUUAAGAAAAAAGGAUAUCGGUGUAGAACAGAGGCCGAGCAAGAAAUUGAAAAGGAAAAACUUGGAGAAAAAAUAGAAAUGAAUGAAAGUGUAAAUGACAAUAACGAUACUGUGGGGCGAAUCGUCAACAUCAUUAUGGAAAAUGAAGCAAAUGCUGAUAUGUUAAAGGCCAUGGUGGCAGAUAACAGUGUGUGUGAUCCUGAAAGCCCCGUGUCUCCUAACACUCCAGGCAGUCCUACAAGUCCAGGCUCUCCUUUGUCACCAGGUGAUACUCCAUCAAAACAUAACUGUCAUGGCCGUCACUUGCAUACUGUUGGGGGAGUAGCAGAGAAGGAUGUUUGUACUCGCUGUAGUCACAAAAGAUGGCAUCUUUUAAAGCCAACCAACAAAUCUAAAGAACAAAGAAAAAGCCGACAAGGAGAAGUUACAGUACUUUCUGUGGGAAGAUUUAGAGUCACAAAAGUAGAGCACAAAUCUACAUCCAAAGAGCGUAAAAGCUUGAUGUCUGUUAGUGGUGUUGAAGGUGUCAAUGGAGAAGUGCCUGCCACACCUGUCAAACAUGGAUCACGAGAAGUUCCUGCCACACCUAUCAGACAAGGAGCAGGAGGGAGAACUGGCACAGAAUAACAGGUGCUGGUGAGGACUAUGUCCUCAGUACAAAAAACACUAUCACAACUAGCACUAACUGGAAAAUACUUGGGCAGUCAGCAGAGUCAUAAAGCACUGAAUGGGCAUGGAACCAAACUUAUUUAUAAUGGUGGCUGUUAAAAGACUUGCAGAUCACAGCCUCACAGGAAUAUCUGAGAUGUCUGUUGUUUCCUAUAGUUUAAGUGCUGCAGUUAUUGCUUCUUGUAUCAAAUGGUGCCAUAACUGUGGAAUCUUGGAUACCUCUGAAUGGUGCACAUACCUUGUUAGGAGCACCAUUUCAAAUUUUGGUCGGGGUGGGGAGGCAAUUUUAACCAUGAUUCCAAGGGCUACUUAGGCACCUGAAAACUUUUUUUUUCCAGAUAAUAACUUAGAAAUUAGCUGACAAGAGCCCUGUAACUAAUUCCUAUAUAAAGAAAGAAAAAAAUACAUACGAAUGCCAAUUAAAGCCAUAUUUAAGUUUAUAUUUAAAUUUAGAACAAUAAGGAGAUAAUACAGCAAGAUAUUCCCAAUCCCAAAAUUGGAAUAGAUCAUCUGACUUUUGGAAGCAUCCUACUAGGACAAGUCUCCAUGAGUUUAUAUUACACCUACCUGGGAUUCUAGGGGUGUUACUCUAGUACAAAUAAUAAGACUAGAAACUGACUUUAAAUGGGAGUGAAACUGACAUUUAAAAGUCACUUUCUCUUCUGUUUAAAGGCUAUUUACUUUCCAGGAGGCUCUUAAACACAACACUGCAAUGAUUGAGUUGUAGUUCUCACAGGAGAAUAUGUAAAACCAAACACCAAGAAAAUUGCACAUUUUAAAGUUUGAGAAAAAAUAGUCUUGUUUAUUAUUUAAAGUUUGUAGAUAUGUUUUUAAAGUUCCAGUCUGUGUUGAGAUGCUGUACCUCAGUUCUGAUUGCUGUAAAAUGGGAAUAAUAUUUGCCUGCGUGCCAUAUGGAAUUAUAAGGAUUAGAUUGAGAUCUGUGGGACAGGAACUGAGCCUUCUUAGUGGUUUGUAUGGUGCUUAGAACCACUGCGGACUUCUCCUGAUUUAAGGACUUUGGACACUAGUGUAACAUUCAUCAGCUGUUGAGAUGCCUGCUGGUGGUAGCUGAAGGGGACUUACCUGGUGGGUGGGAUGUCAGUGGAGUACAGGUCGAAAUCUGUGUUGACCAGCAGCACAGACCCAGUGAGCUCAGCACCUGCUGGCAGAAUUUGCAGCGCAGCAUGGGAACACACCUGUCCUUGAAGCUGCACCCACUAGUGGACAUGAUGGCUCUGGACCAGAAGGGUCUGUCUCCGACCUUUUCCCAGGAAGAGGUGAGGGCGCUUCCUGCUUCUCUGAGGGCAAAUGGAUCCCAAGACCCACUUAUCUGCUCCUAGCCCCCCCAUCCUUCUUCAGCUCCCCUUCCCUCAGGAUCCUUGCCCCGGGGUCUGUUCCUCCUCACUACUCCCUCCCUCAGUUCACAGCCCUAUGCCCUCACCUCUCCCUUCCUGUGGAGAUUGACUCCCUUUUCCCACCCCACUGUACCCCUUCCCUCCCCAGGCUCCAGCAUCCCUUGCUCCUUCUGUCCUUCCCACCAUCACCACAGGGGACUCUGUGCUCCCUCCUCACCACUGGAGACCCUCUGCUUCUUCCCCCCAACCACCACUGGGGACCCUGUGCUCCCUCCUCCCACCCUGACUGACCCCUUCCUUGCCUGCUCCACCCCUAGGGGCCCUGCUUUUCCCAGGGGCCAACCCCCUUCUCUUUGCCUUGGGCCAGUUAAGUUGUCUGUGUCGGUCCUGCUGUCAUUUGACCCCAGUGGGCUAGGCUGUGCGAGCCCCUCAUCUUCCAAGCUUUCAGACUCAGUUUGAAUCCCUAUCCUUGCAUCCCAUUGGAAGAGAGCGGCUGCUGAUUAGAGGAGGGGGCGGGAUGGGUGAGCUACCACAGUGUAGAAAACUGACUGCGGGAGCCAGAGGACCCUGGCUCCUGAAGGAGGGGAGCUAGGUGCAUGUCAUGGCAGGUAAGAGCUCCGCCUGGGGCUGGGGUGUGUGCCAUGAGCAGACCUCCAGUAUGAAACGGGUUGAAAUGGUGCCCCUGCUUGUGUUGGUAGCUCUUGGCUUUUUAGUGGCUAUUGCUGCAAUGACCUACAUAAAGUGACCUACAAAGGACUUCCAUUUAAAAACUGGACUUUGCCCUUUUUGCUUUCUUAUGCGGUAAAAUGGUAGCUUGAACACUUUUUUUUUUAUUUUAACUUUUUAAGUGUUUUUUCUUGCUUCCCAUUAGAGUCGAUCUCUGCCAGCUAACCUGAGCACCAGAGCGCCACAGAGAAGUGAUAUAAUUAAGAUGACCUAUUUAUGCUAAGGCAACAAGGAGGAAGAGAAAACGCACUGAGAAGAGGAGAAGACACAGAGUAAGGAAUGGAAAUGAACACUAAAACUCAUGUGACUCUUCUCUAUAGGUUGACUUCCUAAAGUCUGUUAGAAAUAUUGAUCUGUAUUCUUGGUCGUUGUACUAUGGAUCAAGCAAAUCUGAAUUCUGUGGCAGGGCUCACCGUACAUUCCUGUGCGUAGGUUAGUCAUUCACAAUCAGUUUGUUAAACCCGGUAUAAUGGAAAGGAAUGCAUACAGGGUUUUUUUUUUUCAGUUAAUUGUAAGUUUACUUGUAAGGCAUCUGCUAUUGAUUUAAAGUUCUGUUAAUCUAAAUACAAGGCAAUUACUUACAUUUGAGCAUGCUGAAAAAAGCCUGCACACACUAUUCACUAUAUUAAACUAAUAUCUUGUGCUAUCUUCUCCAGUCUGAGGACCCUUCUCCCAAAUUCUUGGUUGUCUAGACACUGGUGUGUGUUAGAGUAGCCUGUAAAUUGCUUUAAUCUGUCUGUUGCCAGUGACCUUAUAGCAGCCAGGAAUUUGCCAGAUACAGGAACAUUCCUGAUCUUGCACUUUUUUCCUCACCAGAGCCCCUCUAGCUGGAAUUAAGGGUGGCCUAGGAGCUCAAUGAUCAGGAGAUCAUUCAGUGACCAGUUAAGUUGGACUCCGGAUUGUUUUGUGCACUCAAAGUGGUGCAGAGCAGCUCCAAUAUACCAGUGAAUCAGGCCACUUGUCAUGAGUGACAUUCUGUUGCAUUGUCAACAAUGUACUUAAAGUAACUUUUGUAAAGGAAAACCAAGUCUGUCAGUUUUAUUGUGGGGUAAAUAGUUUUGUUUCUGUGCAAUGGAGUUUUUAGAAGUGUGUUUGAUAACGUUGCUGAAAUUGAAAACUUAGGAGAUGUACUAUUAUAGGAAAUGUAUUUAUGUCACUGUAGCUCUUUAUAGUUUCUGUGAAGGAAUCUAUGCAGGGGUAGGUCCUAAGCACUUCAGAUUUGUAGCCAAUAAAACAUUUCCAGUCACUGACAGUGUUGCAUCCUGUGGUCAGCAGCCUAUUGGUUUGCCUUCAUCUUACAAAGAAAAACGUAUGUAACCCUUGGGGAAAGCAAAAGUUCUUCCACCAGAACUUCCUCACCGCUGUGUCCAAAUUAAAAUAUUUAAUUAGCUUAGCAAUGUAAACAAUGGAAAACGUAGGCAAGUUGUAUUAUAUGGGAACAGCUUUAUCCUUUAUUUCCAAAUAAGAAACUUAUGGCAUGGUGGCUGUCAUGGUUACAGGGAUAACAACUUUUGAUCAUUGUCUGGUCUCUGAGUAUACCCCUCACCUCCUGAGCCUCAUGUGUUUACUUCCCAUGGGGUGGUGAUUCUCCCCCAUUUAGAGUGGGGCAUUGAAUCAAGCAUGCUUAUGCCAGCAGGUCCAACUACGUUCAGCACGUGCUGGUCUGUCUUUGGGAGCUUGUUACCAGUGGCAAAUACAAUGACCAAACAGCCUUCUGAAAACAAAAGUAUUUUCUAUUCUUAACAGUUAGCAGCAAAGUAAAACAUGAGAGAGAGGAUUUUUAAACAACAAAAGGCCUACAUGCUGUCUGUCCUGUCUAAGCGCUUUCACUCUGCAAGAGGAUUCUGGAAAGGCCUAGCUUUGUCAGACACCAUGUUAGGUGUCUGUGGGUGUCAGUCUGUUUCCCCUGAACAGCUUCCUGAUAACUACCUAACUGUUGGCCAGAGAAUCUUUUUAACCAGUCUUCUCACAUUCCUGUGCUUGGACUCUGCUGCUCAAAACCAAUUUGGUGGGCUCCAUUGGAGGUCAAGCCCACCUCUUCUGAGCCAAUUGCCCUGCAAUUGUCUCCACACACACAUAUACUUUUUGUUGAGGAAUGUAUUAUCUUGAAUCAUUGUUUUGCCUUCCUACUUGUUUUUUUACAACAGCCUGCUAUUAAACUAAGACAAUAUCAUAUAGUAAACUUGCCUGACAACAAUCAAACAUAUAGCACACAAUACAGUAUUCAAAUAUUAUUAUAGAGCAGCCCCGUGUCCUUCAGAGUGUCUGUCUCUGAAAAUAGGUACCCUCAAUCCAUUUGUGCCAACUAUUAAGCCAUAAUAUCAGUGUCCUUUCUUAUAUUCAUAUUUGAGUGUGACUCUCUGAUACAAAAUCAGUGACUGUUAAGCAGUGCUAAUUGUUGUUUGUAUCUACUUGCCAUGAUUACCACUUUGCCUUAGAAAUGAUGUGUUAAUUGGGAGCAUUUGUGAUAUUUUGGUAGACUUUGCUGUAUAACAGAAACUGAAAAGUGACACUUUUGCUCUACUGCGUGCCUAACAAGAAUACAUAUCAAUCUGUAGCUUUAAUGCGUGUCAAUAGGGAUUGUACUAAAUCAUGAGAAAACUAUAAAGCAGUUUAAUCUGCUUCACAAACUUCUUGUAAAUGUCUUUGUAACUGAUUCAUGUUUUAAAUAAAUGCUGUGUUUUUGUAGCUGUGUCGGUCCGAGGAUAUUAGACACACAAGGUGGGUGAGGUUAUAUCUCUUAUUGGACCAAUUCUGUUGAGAGAGACAGAAGUUGGUCCAAUAAAAGAUAUUACCUCACCCACCUUGUCUUUUUAAAUGAAUACUGUCCAUCUUCUUUAGUCGGAGUAAGUGCUCUAAUUUUUUUUCUUUAUCUCUGAAAGUCAGGUUUCUCCAUCAGCCCAUGUAUUAGUAAUUAUCAAUAUGUGUAACAGCAAAAGAUUUUCCCCUGGCUAUCAUUUCACAUGCCCCAUAGGUUGCCACUUAAAGUUCAGGAAUGAGGAAUAUUGUAGCAGUAUUGCGAAGCCCAAAUGUUCAAAAAUCAUGAGUUAGGCUCACCAAAAAUCAUGAGAUUAUGUAAAAAUAAUAGAUUUGAUGUUUGUUUGCCUUUUGCUCUUUGAGCCUUCAGGGUGCAUUGGAGGUCACAUAUUGAAGCUUUCUCCCUAGCCAUGGGGGCUAGAAACUUACUUUUUCUUUAAGAAUGAAGGCUGAAAUCAUCACACAUCCUUGACUCCAGGAGCUGGGGCUUAAGGAAAACAAUUAUCAUGAGAGUUGGCAACACUGUAUAUAGGGAAGUUUACAUUGCUGACUGUGCUCUACUUGAUCCGUAGGUGGCAGAUGUAGUCCAGACAUCUCAGACCUACAAGAGAAACCAAUUAUUUUUGUCAAUUCUAAAUAAAAUUAAGUCUUUUAACAAAUGUUUUAUUUACAGUUUUCAAGAACGGAGUUCCAAAAGUAACUUUUAUCUGAGCCCGACUGCUAUUUGGGAAUAAAUACAAAGAUUUAAUAGAUUUUUCAUUAUUAGUGUAAAUAAGAUAUCUUCCUUCACUCAGAUUUAACUCAGACUACCAAUAUAAUCUUAAAACUACUAAAAGAUACUUAAAUUGAUAAAUCCUUGGCCUACCGUGUUUUCCCCUUAUGUUUGCAGAUUUCACUCUUUUCAUGAACAGCUCUACAGCAUACUAAAAUGUAUGCAGAAGGAAUUUAAAUCGUGCCAGUAUAUUAUUUUCAGAAUUCCAGGAUAUCGUGAGAAUAGGUAACUGAAGUAUACGUAUGUGACAGUAUUUUUAAUAUUAAAAUUACUGGAUGAAAAUGUGGACUCUAGAGUAAAAGUUGUUUUGUACUUACACAGCCAACUAAACAGUUGAUUGUUUUGAAUAUGAAGAUGCGCAAUUGUAGAGUAUCCCGAAAUCUGAGAUUUUAUUCUGAUGGGAGCACAUUUUAGUAAUAUGUGGCUUAACACUGCGAGUAAAUAUGCUCAAAAGAGUGAAAAUGUUUAAUAUAUAUGCUAUUUUUUACUUAAUUUAAAAUUAGUUGCUAUUUUGAUUCCAUUAGAAAUAUGCAAAAUUUUUAUCCAGUACCAUUCAACAUGUAAAAUCUUAUUAGUUGAGAUUAUCUAGUACUUAUUUAACAUGAAUUUCUAAUUAUGUACAUAAGGCUGAUGUUUGUGGGAAGUAAAAUGUGUAUUGCCACUUUAGCAAAAAAAAAUGUGGUAAAUGUGUGAUCUUAUUACAUAUAAGUGGUACAAACAUUGCCGUCAUCAAAAAAACCAAAUAAACCUAAACUUCAUGAAGUCAGUUUUUCUUAAUCUUGCACAUCAACUGUAUUUUUAACAAUAUGGUUUGUAUAAGACUUUUGUACUACCAAAGUAGUAAAAAAAUAAAAUAAUAAACUGAUUCUUAAA
Molecule: RNA transcript, 7536 nt
Organism: Chelonia mydas (Green sea turtle)
Lineage: Eukaryota; Metazoa; Chordata; Testudines; Cheloniidae
Gene: RELL1
Gene name: RELT like 1
Exons: 9
Source: RefSeq, a predicted model, not a curated record